AUUGAACGCUGGCGGCAGGCCUAAUACAUGCAAGUCGAACGGUAACAUGGAAGUAGCAAUACUUUUGAUGACGAGUGGCGGACGGGUGAGUAAUAUUUGGGAAUCUACCUAUCAGAGGGGGAUAGCAACUGGAAACGGUUGAUAAGACCGCGUACGCUCUGAGGAGGAAAGUAAUGGGAUCGCAAGACCAUUAGCUGAUAGAUGAGCCCAAACGGGAUUAGCUAGUAGGCGGGGUAAGGGCCCACCUAGGCGACGAUCGGUAGGGGUUCUGAGAGGAAGGUCCCCCACAUUGGAACUGAGACACGGUCCAAACUCC
RNAcentral lists this ribosomal RNA (316 nucleotides) under uncultured Succinivibrionaceae bacterium. RNAcentral describes it as "bacterial SSU rRNA". It matches the Rfam family "Bacterial small subunit ribosomal RNA", at positions 30 to 339 of the family's 1533-position model. The record is from RNAcentral. Lineage: Bacteria; Pseudomonadati; Pseudomonadota; Gammaproteobacteria; Aeromonadales; Succinivibrionaceae.